CUACUGAUUAUAUAUCUGAUACCAG
RNAcentral lists this microRNA (25 nucleotides) under Glycine max (soybean). RNAcentral's name for it is "gma-miR10434". The record is from miRBase by way of RNAcentral. Lineage: Eukaryota; Viridiplantae; Streptophyta; Magnoliopsida; Fabales; Fabaceae.